Molecule: ribosomal RNA, 492 nt
Filed under: uncultured bacterium
Lineage: Bacteria
Description: partial 16S ribosomal RNA
Rfam family: Bacterial small subunit ribosomal RNA
Source: RNAcentral
AGUGAACGCUGGCGGUAGGCCUAACACAUGCAAGUCGAACGGCAGCACAGUAAGAGCUUGCUCUUACGGGUGGCGAGUGGCGGACGGGUGAGGAAUACAUCGGAAUCUACUUUUUCGUGGGGGAUAACGUAGGGAAACUUACGCUAAUACCGCAUACGACCUACGGGUGAAAGCAGGGGAUCUUCGGACCUUGCGCGAUUGAAUGAGCCGAUGUCGGAUUAGCUAGUUGGCGGGGUAAAGGCCCACCAAGGCGACGAUCCGUAGCUGGUCUGAGAGGAUGAUCAGCCACACGGGAACUGAGACACGGUCCAGACUCCUACGGGAGGCAGCAGUGUGGAAUAUUGGACAAUGGGCGCAAGCCUGAUCCAGCCAUACCGCGUGGGUGAAGAAGGCCUUCGGGUUGUAAAGCCCUUUUGUUGGGAAAGAAAAGCAGCAGGUUAAUACCCCGCUGUUCUGACGGUACCCAAAGAAUAAGCACCGGCUAACUUCGUG